RNAcentral lists this ribosomal RNA (388 nucleotides) under uncultured bacterium. RNAcentral's name for it is "bacterial SSU rRNA". It matches the Rfam family "Bacterial small subunit ribosomal RNA", at positions 28 to 420 of the family's 1533-position model. The record is from RNAcentral.
GACGAACGCUGGCGGCGUGCUUAACACAUGCAAGUCGAGCGGUAAGGCCUUUCGGGGUACACGAGCGGCGAACGGGUGAGUAACACGUGGGUGAUCUGCCCUGCACUUCGGGAUAAGCCUGGGAAACUGGGUCUAAUACCGGAUAUGACCUCCUAUCGCAUGGUGGGUGGUGGAAAGAUUUAUCGGUGCAGGAUGGGCCCGCGGCCUAUCAGCUUGUUGGUGGGGUAAUGGCCUACCAAGGCGACGACGGGUAGCCGACCUGAGAGGGUGACCGGCCACACUGGGACUGAGACACGGCCCAGACUCCUACGGGAGGCAGCAGUGGGGAAUAUUGCACAAUGGGCGAAAGCCUGAUGCAGCGACGCCGCGUGAGGGACGACGGCCUCGG